GCGGGGUGGAGCAGUCUGGUAGCUCGUCGGGCUCAUAACCCGAAGGUCGUUGGUUCGAAUCCAGC
RNAcentral lists this transfer RNA (65 nucleotides) under Marinobacter adhaerens. RNAcentral's name for it is "tRNA-Met". It matches the Rfam family "tRNA", at positions 8 to 63 of the family's 71-position model. Rfam says of the family: Transfer RNA (tRNA) molecules are approximately 80 nucleotides in length. Their secondary structure includes four short double-helical elements and three loops (D, anti-codon, and T loops). The record is from RNAcentral. Lineage: Bacteria; Pseudomonadati; Pseudomonadota; Gammaproteobacteria; Pseudomonadales; Marinobacteraceae.